Molecule: long non-coding RNA, 1530 nt
Organism: Apis cerana (Asiatic honeybee)
Lineage: Eukaryota; Metazoa; Arthropoda; Insecta; Hymenoptera; Apidae
Source: RefSeq, a predicted model, not a curated record
AACAUUCUAUGCCUACGCUGAUGCAUGUAUAAACACGUAUAACACGUAUAAAUCAAUACGCGUCAACGUUCGAUCGAUUGUUCUCUGAAGAAUAGGCGAAUAAGCGUCACUCUACACGUGUGACGAUCGUAUUUUCCUCCGAUCGGGGAAAGAUCGAUCAAUUAUCAUCGGUGUACGACGAUUUACGACGAAAAAAGUUACAGUGACGAGGUUAUCGACAGACACCGAGAGAAGAAUAAUUACAUCGGGCGCAAUUGAAUCGAAACCGCGGCAUCUCGAAAAUCAAACUACAAUUUAUGUACAACCGGUGUACACACAUUCUCUCGGAAUAUUUAUCGAUACGAUUAUCCUAUUCCUUCUCCCAUAAAAUAAUCUGUCAAUGUUGGAAUGGAACGAUCUUCGAGCCGAUAUCCAACAACGCCCACGUAAGGCGAAUCCUCUUUCCACCUACGGUCGCACAUAGAAACACGCCGUAACGCGCUGCUCGAACAUGGCUACCCUCUAUUCAUCGCGGGAUUACCACGGAUGAACGAGGUUAGACGAAAGUUUUUUUCCGUGUUCGCGUGUCGUCCAUUGUGAAACGCACGAAUGUUCCAAGCCUCGAGAGAGAAAAAAAGAAAAAUAACGGAGAGCGCAACGAUGUGAUAAUUUAUAAACGAAUUUGACCAGGAAGAAUCAAAGGAAGCAUUCGUGAGAAUUUUUCUUCUUCAAGGAAAAAUUUGUUCGAAAGAAAGUUCUUUCGAAUUGACGAUACGCGGCGGAUACGAUGCCACGGGAUACGGAUCGUUCUCUUAAGAGAAACAUGCACCGACAACGCCCACGUGCAAAUACAAACAGUCGGUAAUAUGUUUCGUACGUCAUCUAGCUAAGCGUUCGUUCGCAAGGCACGCGAUCACCAUGAUUUUUCACGAGAUGAAAAGAGAAGAAAAAUGGAAUGGAAAAACUAGUUCUCCACUGAUACCUACCGAGUAUCCGCCGAUCGAAAUAUCGAAAUCGGUCGAUAAAGCCAAGGAAUUCGAUCGAGGAAAAGAGCUCCCUCGUCGACUCUCGUUUUUCUCGUGAUCGUGAAAUUGUUAUGCCGCGAUCAUCCUCUAUAUUUAUUCCGUAUCGUCGUUGCUGGGGAUACUGGUCUACGUCGAUGUUGUUCCAGAGAGGUGGCUGAACAGAGGGACCCAGGUUGUAUCGCGUGGAUAACGCGCCAACGUUUCGCCAAGGUUUAUGGGCCGUGACGUCCCGCAUCGGCAAGAGGGAUAGGAAUGAAUCGUUUCGAAUAAACUAUGGACGAAUAUUCGAAGAAAUUUCCUGGUGUUAAAACGAAAUUUCGAAUUCUCGAUGCCAGAAAUUUCAAACUGAUAGUAUCUUUAUCUGGCUUUAGAAAUUCGAGAAAGGCGUGCCCGUCGAGUUCCAAUUUAAAACCGAAGGAAAAAUAUCGAGAAAAGAAAAGGAAAUUUGGAAAGGAAGAGUGCGUAAGUUGAUUAAAAAAUUGAAAAAAAUUCUAAAGAAAUAAGAAAUAAAAUCGAAAUUAAUUUU